Recurvomyces mirabilis is the source of this 82-nucleotide non-coding RNA. Lineage: Eukaryota; Fungi; Ascomycota; Dothideomycetes; Mycosphaerellales; Teratosphaeriaceae. The record is from the annotation of a RefSeq genome assembly.
GCGCCGGUAGUUUAAGGGUAGAAUUCGAGCUUCCCAUCGGAUGUCUCUGCUCGAGGACCGAGUUCGAGUCUCGGCCGGCGCA